RNAcentral lists this transfer RNA (69 nucleotides) under Clambus sp. CLA01. Its description in RNAcentral is "tRNA-Asp". Lineage: Eukaryota; Metazoa; Arthropoda; Insecta; Coleoptera; Clambidae. The record is from RNAcentral. RNAcentral also lists the same sequence under 1 other name.
AAAGAAUUAGUUAAAUUAACAUUAGUUUGUCAAACUAAAAAUAUUAAUUUUAUAAAUUAAUAUUCUUUA